Molecule: ribosomal RNA, 540 nt
Filed under: Protocyclidium citrullus
Lineage: Eukaryota; Ciliophora; Oligohymenophorea; Pleuronematida; Cyclidiidae
Description: partial small subunit ribosomal RNA
Rfam family: Bacterial small subunit ribosomal RNA (bases 1-450)
Source: RNAcentral
AAUUUGUUCUAACGGUGGAGCAUGUGAUUUAAUACGAUAAUCCACGUAAAAUCUUACCAACAUAUUAUUUAAUUUUAUACUAAAAAAUAAUUUUUUAUAAUAAACAAAAUUAAAAUCGGUAUUGCAUGGCUGUCGUCAGUUCGUGUUUUGAAAUGUAAAAUUAAUUUUUUUUACGAACGCAACCUUUAAAAUAUUUUAUAAAAUUAAUAUUUUAAUUAAAAGCUGAAGUCAAGUCGUUUUGGUCUUUAUAUGUUGGGCUACACACGUGCUACAAUAACGAAAACAAAAAGUUACGAAUAAGUAAUUAAGAGUUAAUCUUUAAAAAUCGUUUUAGUGCAGAUUGUUUUUUGUAACUCAAAAACAUGAAGUUGGAAUCGUUAGUAAUCGUAUUUUAAUAUAGUACGGUGAAUAAAAAGUCAAAUUUUGCACACACUGCCCAUCACACUCGGAAAAUUAAAUUUAUUUUUAUAAAAAAAAUUUAAUUUUUUUUCUUGUAAAAAAAAAACUAUUUUUUUUUUUAACAUUUAGAUUUGAUAAUUU